RNAcentral lists this small RNA (270 nucleotides) under Callithrix jacchus (white-tufted-ear marmoset). RNAcentral's name for it is "Metazoan signal recognition particle RNA (ENSCJAG00000074949.1)". The record is from RNAcentral. Lineage: Eukaryota; Metazoa; Chordata; Mammalia; Primates; Cebidae.
GCUGGGCAUGGUGGUGCGCGCCCGUAGUCCCAGCUACUCAGGAGGCUGAGGCAGGAGAAUUGCUUGAACUUGGGAGGCGGAGGUUGUGGUGAGCUGAGAUCAUGCCAUUGUACUCCAGUCUGGUUAACAACAGCGAAACUCCGUCUUGGGGAAAAAAAAAAAAAAAAAAAAAAGACAGAGUCUCUCUGUUGCCCAGGCUGGAGUGCAAUGGUGCAAUCUCGGCUCACUGCAACCUCCACCUCCCAAGUUCAAGUGAUUCUCCUGCCUCAG